Molecule: ribosomal RNA, 468 nt
Filed under: uncultured bacterium
Lineage: Bacteria
Description: partial 16S ribosomal RNA
Rfam family: Bacterial small subunit ribosomal RNA
Source: RNAcentral
GACGAACGCUGGCGGCGUGCUUAACACAUGCAAGUCGAACGGAAAGGCUCUGCUUUUUUGGGGUGCUCGACUGGCGAACGGGUGAGUGACACGUGCGUAAACUACCCUCGACAUUGGGAUAACCUCAGGAAACUGGGGCUAAUACCGGCUAGGAGCCCCUGCUGCAUGGUGGGGGUUGGAUAGUUUCGGCGGUUGGGGAUGGACUCGCGGCUUAUCAGCUUGUUGGUGGGGUAGUGGCUUACCAAGGCUUUGACGGGUAGCCGGCCUGAGAGGGUGACCGGCCACAUUGGGACUGAGAUACGGCCCAGACUCCUACGGGAGGCAGCAGUGGGGAAUAUUGCGCAAUGGGCGGAAGCCUGAUGCAGCAACGCCGCGUGCGGGAUGACGGCCUUCGGGUUGUAAACCGCUUUGGCCUGUGACGAAGCGUGAGUGACGGUAAUGGGUAAAGAAGCACCGGCUAACUACGUG